UUGGCCAAUCAAAAAAAGGUGUCUUGUCUGGACGUCAUUAGCAUGUGGGUCUGUGAAUAGAGCGGGCGCGAGGCGGGCGCCAGUCAUUCUCUGUUCGUUUAUUCGAGAAGCAGCAUUAUGCCAGAUCCAGCUAAGACCGCGCCCAAGAAGGGAUCAAAGAAAGCCGUGACCAAGACGGCCGGCAAAGGAGGCAAGAAGCGCAGAAAGUCUAGGAAGGAGAGCUACGCCAUCUACGUGUACAAGGUCCUGAAGCAGAUGGAGGUUCGGACAUCUGUGAGUCAUUCUGUGAGGAUGGGAGUUCACAUGUAGAUGGUGAGUAGUGUUUUUAUUUUGUGAGUGCUUUUAAUGAAGGCUCAUUGCAUAGUGGGGUUUUGGUAGUCAGAUUUCACUGUUAGCACUUCAGUACACAUGCACUACGUUUACAUGAACAGCAGUAAUCUAAUUAUUGACCUUAUUCUGAAUAAGAUAACAUUGUGAUUAAGGUGUUUACAUGAGUCGCUUUUAGAAUACUCCUCUCAUGUACCCGUUUUACAUGUUAUAGAUCAUAGAUGGAUUAACGGCACGUCAUUCAACAUACAGUUGGUCUUCGUUAUGGUACCAUAUACAGUCUGGGGUGUUAUUUUUAAUUUUUACGAAAGCUUCCAGUGCAGUUAAUUAUUUGUCAUGCUGUACGUGCAAAUAGAUGACUGCUUGAAGCCACUAGCUAGAUAGCUACUAACCCGUGUAACCUCGCUUGUCAUUUCUUUUCCCACAUAUAGCCCUCUUUUUUUAAUCUUCCCAUAUUAGUUAAAACAAAGUAUUUUUAUUGGUCUAGCCUAAUGAAGUUCCUCAGCUGUAGGUGUUUUAAUCAGCGGAAAUAGUGACACAUCUCUGCUGAAAACCAUAACAGAAAUUCUAAUGGAUUCCACUACAAAUACCAUUACAAACCUUAAAAACCAUUACCAAAUUUCAAAGGUGUUCUAUUGGUCCUUAAUGGUACCCCCUAGACAUAACAUGCCACCAAUAAACGGCAACAAAUUACCAUUAGAGGUCCUAAGGGACCAUUACAGAUUCCAUUAAAACCAAUGCAAUUCCCAUUAAAACCAUUACCAAAUUCUAUAAGGGUUUCUGUUGUCAAAACAAAGCAUUUUUUAUCAGUCUAGCCUGCAGAUCGGCCUCAGCCGCCUGACACAACGCAUGAACCUCGAA
Molecule: RNA transcript, 1188 nt
Organism: Ictalurus furcatus (blue catfish)
Lineage: Eukaryota; Metazoa; Chordata; Actinopteri; Siluriformes; Ictaluridae
Gene name: piwi-like protein 1
Exons: 2
Source: RefSeq, a predicted model, not a curated record